CCCCGCCUCCGCCACCUCCCCGCCACCACCCACCUCCGGAAAGCAGAUUCACUGACAAAGCACCUCGCCCCGCAGGACUCCCCGCCCCGUGUGCACCCACCCGGAAUCCGAGCGUUCAUCGAUAGCGUUUGCUGGAAGCUUCGCGGAUCUACUAAGAGAAGAGGAAAAGCCUCAGGAUGGACAUUCGAAAGGUCAGGUCGUCCAGGGCUGGGCUGCAGAGAUCUUCCGCAGAAGACUUACCACCCUUGACACAUGGCCUCGGUGGAUUUUAUCCAAAUAGGGGUUGCUUCAGAGUUUAUUCAUGCAAAAGAUUCAGGACACCGGCAGGUUCCUGGUAAGACCACCUCAGCUUGCAGUCCUCGCUGGGAAGGAGGGGACAGCGAACGGCUUAUGAAGCUGAUCGGGGCCUUCUUAGGUUGGUGGGAAUUUUGCUUCCUUUGCAAAGAGGACUCAGUGCACAGUUCCAGCAGCCUUUUCCUAUCCUCUUGAGACAGGAUGGCUGAGCUUGGUAGGAAUGGAGGAGGGACCAGGACCCAUGGCCCAACCCCAUCGCCUGCUCUCCCUGUGCCAGCGUGGGCCAGCGGCGCUGCACAGCCACCUCCUGGACGUCCCUUCACCUCCCCUGGGUUGAACUGUGGAUCAGAAACAUAGGACCUAGUAGGUGCCCUGUGCAAGGUAACUAUGCUGUGUUCUCACCACAGUACCUUAAUAAACUACCAAAUAGAUGUCAGUAAUCCCUGUUCCAUGAUGACACAAGGCCAUGAUCCCCACACGACCCAUUUAUUUCCCUCUCUGAUUUUUAACACAUCUUCCUCUUCCCCUUUAAACAAGCAGGUAUGAAUUCUUAAGUCAUGCCUGCUUGAAUUCAGGAGGAGAGGCCUAAGAUUAGAAUUAGAAGGAAGGUUUUAAAUCAAGUGACCUAUGACUGAGUUCAAAACAACUCACUCCAGCAAGCCAGCUGGCAAAACGACUUCCAAUUCAUGAAAGCGGGGGGAAAAAAAGCCUUCCCAUUUGAGUCACUCGACCAUUUCACGCACAAAGACUUUGUGUACGUACCAGAAAGACAAGCCUUUCCACAUUUGCAUGUAUCCUUUUUAUAGUUGUUGUGAUUUUGCCAGGUGCUUUAUGACCAUUUUUUAUUAGCUGGGUCUCUCCAUAGUCCUGUGAGGUAUAGAUUAGAAGGUAAAGCAGGUCCUGUACAGGAUGAGGCAGGAAGCAAACUCUCCAGGGACAUCUUACUCCAGGAAAGCCUGUGUGAAAGAACGCACUUUCCCCUGCUUGCCGGAGGCACCAGGAAAUAGAAGUCAGCCUGGAAAAUACUGCUGAGCCAUUUUUAAAAGCAAAUUUCUUUAUAAAGCGCAUAUAUUUCUUCUCUCUCUCUCUCUCAUUUGCUUAACUUCAGCCGGUCUAUAUUUCAGUUCAAACAUAGGAUCAUAUAGCAAAUCCCUCC
Molecule: long non-coding RNA, 1450 nt
Filed under: Camelus dromedarius (Arabian camel)
Lineage: Eukaryota; Metazoa; Chordata; Mammalia; Artiodactyla; Camelidae
Description: lncRNA (ENSCDRG00005012514.1)
Source: RNAcentral